This 467-nucleotide ribosomal RNA is filed under the name uncultured bacterium. RNAcentral's name for it is "partial 16S ribosomal RNA". It matches the Rfam family "Bacterial small subunit ribosomal RNA", at positions 28 to 507 of the family's 1533-position model. The record is from RNAcentral.
GACGAACGCUGGCGGCGUGCUCAACACAUGCAAGUCGAACGGAAAGGCCCUGCUUUUGUGGGGUGCUCGAGUGGCGAACGGGUGAGUAACACGUGAGUAACCUGCCCUUGACUUUGGGAUAACUUCAGGAAACUGGGGCUAAUACCGGAUAGGAGCUCCUGCUGCAUGGUGGGGGUUGGAAAGUUUCGGCGGUGGGGAUGGACUCGCGGCUUAUCAGCUUGUUGGUGGGGUAGUGGCUUACCAAGGCUUUGACGGGUAGCCGGCCUGAGAGGGUGACCGGCCACAUUGGGACUGAGAUACGGCCCAGACUCCUACGGGAGGCAGCAGUGGGGAAUAUUGCACAAUGGGCGGAAGCCUGAUGCAGCAACGCCGCGUGCGGGAUGACGGCCUUCGGGUUGUAAACCGCUUUCGCCUGUGACGAAGCGUGAGUGACGGUAAUGGGUAAAGAAGCACCGGCUAACUACGUG